GUGCUUGCUUCAGCAGCACAUGUACUAAAAUUGGAACAAUACAGAGAAGAUUAGUAUGGCCCCUGUGCAAGGAUGACACACAUAUUUGUGAAGCAUUCCAUCCUUUU
Small nuclear RNA from Psammomys obesus (fat sand rat), 107 nucleotides. NCBI's taxonomy places the organism in Eukaryota, Metazoa, Chordata, Mammalia, Rodentia, Muridae. The record is from RefSeq and is a predicted model, not a curated record.